UCCCUGGCGGUCCAGUGGUUAGGACUUGGUGCUUUCACUGUCAGGGUCCUGGGUUCAAUCCCUGGUCAGGGAA
This is a non-coding RNA of Ovis aries (sheep), 73 nucleotides long. The record is from Rfam. Lineage: Eukaryota; Metazoa; Chordata; Mammalia; Artiodactyla; Bovidae.